This 419-nucleotide ribosomal RNA is filed under the name uncultured bacterium. Its description in RNAcentral is "bacterial SSU rRNA". It matches the Rfam family "Bacterial small subunit ribosomal RNA", at positions 33 to 496 of the family's 1533-position model. The record is from RNAcentral.
UACGCUGGCGGCACGCCUAACACAUGCAAGUCGAACGAAGUAGCAAUACUUAGUGGCAGACGGGUGAGUAACAUGUAGGUAUCUGCCCUUUGGCCUGGAAUAACACGAGGAAACUUGUGCUAAUACCGGAUAAGUCUUUACGGAGAAAGCUUUAUGCACCAUUGGAUGAGCCUGCACUUGAUUAGUUUGUUGGUGGGGUAAUGGCCUACCAAGACUGUGAUCAAUAGCUGAUUUGAGAGGAUGAUCAGCCACAUUGGGACUGAGACACGGCCCAAACUCCUACGGGAGGCAGCAGUGGGGAAUCUUGCACAAUGGAGGAAACUCUGAUGCAGCGAUGCCGCGUGAGUGAAGAAGGCCUUUGGGUUGUAAAGCUCUUUCGUCGGGGAAGAAAAUGACUGUACCCGAAUAAGAAGGUCCGG